CAGCCGCCGCGGUAAUACGAAGGGUGCAAGCGUUACUCGGAAUUACUGGGCGUAAAGCGUGCGUAGGUGGUGGUUUAAGUCCGUUGUGAAAGCCCUGGGCUCAACCUGGGAAUUGCAGUGGAUACUGGGUCACUAGAGUGUGGUAGAGGAUAGUGGAAUUUCCAGUGUAGCAGUGAAAUGCGUAGAGAUCGGAAGGAACAUCUGUGGCGAAGGCGACUAUCUGGACCUGUACUGACGCUCAUGCACGAAAGCGUGGGGAGCAAACAGGAUUAGAUACCCGCGUAGUCCCUGUCUCUUAUAC
This 301-nucleotide ribosomal RNA is filed under the name uncultured bacterium. RNAcentral's name for it is "partial 16S ribosomal RNA". It matches the Rfam family "Bacterial small subunit ribosomal RNA", at positions 509 to 807 of the family's 1533-position model. The record is from RNAcentral.